AUGCUGAGAGUCUUUUUUAUAACUGUCCAAAUCGUUGUUAUUUUUUUAUUCGUACUUUAGUUUGUUUUCCCCGUUCCUCCCGCAAACGAUGCAAGAUGGACGGAGGGGCUCCAAUCAUACGUGCAGACAUUGCGGAGUUAUGAUUUAUCCACCGGUGCGGAGCAUAUAGAUACGGUCUGCGGAAUCUGCCGAUCAGCUUGUGAAUGUGACUGCUAUCGUCGCCUGAGACGUACGGGCACUAAAUAUCUACAUUUUCUCCUAUUCUUUUGGUAUUUCGCAACACUCACUAUUCGCUUGCUGCAACCGAUGAUCCUUCAAAGCCCUUGGUAGGUGUACGAUACCUCGAUCGAUUUACACUCUCAUCCGAGACUGCGGUGUCAGAUUAAUCGGAUUCCAACAUCUACCGAACCAAGCUUGCUGAAGAAAGAGACAAACCUUACCGUAACACAACGCUCUCCACACCGCAGUGCGAGCGGGGUGUGAAACCGGCAAACCGCAAAACCAACCGAAACCACAUCAGCCACACAACAUCAUCACAAAUUACAUGGCUCGUUCGAUGGGUUAAUGCCGUAGCCGCGCUGCUGCCGAGCAGGCACUGGCAUCGUUACAAAAAAGCAAUGAAGGAGAAAUUGGCCAACGUUUUGUCACCGUAGAAAAAACCAAAAACAACCAAUUUUACCGAGGAUUACCUGUGCCGUAAUGAGACUCACGAUAAGAUGCUAGCAGAAAGCUCCAUCGCACUAAAGCAAGAGGCAGAAAAAAUUAUUAAAAUGGUAAUCAUGCUGAACAGAGAAAACAAAAUCACUCCACGAAUGGAAUAAAUGAGCAGCAGUGGCAGCACCACCAGGAAUGGCCCGCUAGUUGUAAGGCUCCUCUACGAUCAGUUUAUUCGUUGGUAAGCAAAGUGAGAUAGCAGGAUUUCAAAGACGUACACGAGACGAACGACGAGCAGAACACGACGAGCAUGUUUUACACCGAAGGCUGCGAAGAAACUUUGCUCGGCAAGAACGAGUGCGAUCCGCGUCGUGUUUAUCUUGUUUUAUAACUCUAUACCUUCAUUUGUAUGUUGCUUGAGGUAUGUACAUAAUGUCGCGCUCGUGGCUCACGCCUUCUCGUCCUGUGGCACUACCAAAGCGCACGGGAUAAAAUAUGUAAAUUUUAUCUAAGUUUAAGCUGAUGUUCAGGCUCAUUUUAAAUUGUAACACAAUUAAACCGACAACAAACGAAAAAAAAAUCUCAAAUGCUUCUAUUUUCAAUUGUACAACCGGCUGUAUUAGUAUUCCAGAUAUUUUUUAAAGGUUUUGCUGAUUUUCAGAUUUGCUCUCAUCCGCAUUCAUCCCAUCCCUCUUUAUGCAUCAACAUUUCACACUGUCUCUUGUAAGAUACAUUACUGCGUUGAUGUCCAGUGCUUCUUGAUUUACCGGUUUGUGCGUUUUGCGUUCGUCUUCCUUCCCCACCAUGAUUGUGUCCAUGCGAACGUCAAUGACAAUCUGUCUUCUUCCAGCCUUUGCAAUACACCCCGCCAUGGCAUGCUCUACAAGAACCAUAUUCAUUACAAACUCCUUUUUGCAGUACAUUAUCACACACCCGAAUGGUCAAAACAAAACGGAUAGCCUGAACCGAUCGUCCUGCAGGCAGGUAUGGCGCGAUCGUUCCCGGGCACAGGUACCUUUACCAACUGCACCCUUCCUGCCGUACGCUCGAGGAAGUGAGAAGAAACAUAAGCUACUACGGUUCGCUCGCCACCCCAUGGUUAGCUGAUCCUUCCCGGCGUCAGUUCCUACUUUCCCUUGUACACCCUCCUCGGGUCAAAUCCGCAACGGUAGUCAAGCGUCUGUCUGCGAUCUUCUCGAAUACCAGAUUGCCCGGAUUGGCUUAAGCGACCACUUGAGAGUGGUCAGUUCGGAAAGGUUCGAAGGCUGGCUGGCGAUAAGUGGCGCCAGCGCGCCAGGGAUCAGCACCAACUUUGGCGACCAAUGUCUCCAGAGAGGCUUAAUUGCAAACCGUGCACACUUACAAGGUGGAGUUUCUGCAUCCGACUACCCCUUUCGAGGCUCGAGUUGCGACCCGAUACGAACCCGUGUCAAGCGGGGUUCUCAAACCCGACCUCGAUAAGAGAUACAUCCGAUCCGAUCUGAUGCGGAUUAUCUUACCACCAGCCUCUGAGUGUGGUUCGAGAUGCCAUCGGCGCUUCCGGUACCGAGCAUUAGAUUCAUGUUGGUACAUGUGCUACAGCCAACAGCAUCGCUGCGCUUCGAUUGCACUCACACUCGCUUGAAGGUAGACACCAAUAAG
Long non-coding RNA from Anopheles merus, 2295 nucleotides. RefSeq lists it as uncharacterized. The transcript has 3 exons. The record is from RefSeq and is a predicted model, not a curated record. Lineage: Eukaryota; Metazoa; Arthropoda; Insecta; Diptera; Culicidae.